This 396-nucleotide ribosomal RNA is filed under the name uncultured bacterium. RNAcentral describes it as "partial 16S ribosomal RNA". It matches the Rfam family "Bacterial small subunit ribosomal RNA", at positions 360 to 774 of the family's 1533-position model. The record is from RNAcentral.
AAUAUUGCACAAUGGGGGAAACCCUGAUGCAGCAACGCCGCGUGCGCGAUGAAGGCCUUCGGGCCGUAAAGCUCUCUCCUAAGGGAAGAUAAUGACGGUACCUUAGGAGGAGGCCCCGGCGAACUCCGUGCCAGCAGCCGCGGUAACACGUAGGGGGCAAGCGUUAUCCGGAAUCAUUGGGCGUAAAGGGUGCGUAGGCUGCCCUAUAGGUCAGAGGUCAAAGGCUACGGCUCAACCGUAGUAAGCCUUUGAAACUGUAGGGCUUGAGUGCAGGAGAGGAGAGUGGAAUUCCUAGUGUAGCGGUGAAAUGCGUAGAUAUUAGGAGGAACACCAGUGGCGAAGGCGACUCUCUGGACUGCAACUGACGCUGAGGCACGAAAGCGUGGGUAGCGAACA